CUCCCGUGAAGUCAGCGGCGGACGGGCUGAGUAACACGUGGGCAACCUGCCUGUAAGACUGGGAUAACUUCGGGAAACCGGAGCUAAUACCGGAUAAUGCAUGUCCCCUCAUGGGGACCUGCUGAAAGAUGGUUUCGGCUAUCACUUACAGAUGGGCCCGCGGCGCAUUAGCUAGUUGGUGAGGUAACGGCUCACCAAGGCAACGAUGCGUAGCCGACCUGAGAGGGUGAUCGGCCACACUGGGACUGAGACACGGCCCAGACUCCUACGGGAGGCAGCAGUAGGGAAUCUUCCGCAAUGGACGAAAGUCUGACGGAGCAACGCCGCGUGAGUGAUGAAGGUUUUCGGAUCGUAAAACUCUGUUGUCAGGGAAGAACAAGUGCCGGAGUAACUGCCGGCGCCUUGACGGUACCUGACCAGAAAGCCACGGCUAACUACGUGCCAGCAGCCGCGGUAAUACGUAGGUGGCAAGCGUUGUCCGGAAUUAUUGGGCGUAAAGCGCGCGCAGGCGGUCUCUUAAGUCUGAUGUGAAAGCCCACGGCUCAACCGUGGAGGGUCAUUGGAAACUGGGGGACUUGAGUGCAGAAGAGGAAAGUGGAAUUCCACGUGUAGCGGUGAAAUGCGUAGAGAUGUGGAGGAACACCAGUGGCGAAAGGCGACUUUCUGGUCUGUAACUGACGCUGAGGCGCGAAAAGCGUGGGGAGCAAACAGGAUUAGAUACCCUGGUAGUCC
Molecule: ribosomal RNA, 732 nt
Filed under: Staphylococcus saprophyticus
Lineage: Bacteria; Bacillati; Bacillota; Bacilli; Caryophanales; Staphylococcaceae
Description: bacterial SSU rRNA
Rfam family: Bacterial small subunit ribosomal RNA
Source: RNAcentral